AGUGAACGCUGGCGGUAGGCCUAACACAUGCAAGUCGAACGGCAGCACAGUAAGAGCUUGCUCUUACGGGUGGCGAGUGGCGGACGGGUGAGGAAUACAUCGGAAUCUACUUUUUCGUGGGGGAUAACGUAGGGAAACUUACGCUAAUACCGCAUACGACCUACGGGUGAAAGCAGGGGAUCUUCGGACCUUGCGCGAUUGAAUGAGCCGAUGUCGGAUUAGCUAGUUGGCGGGGUAAAGGCCCACCAAGGCGACGAUCCGUAGCUGGUCUGAGAGGAUGAUCAGCCACACUGGAACUGAGACACGGUCCAGACUCCUACGGGAGGCAGCAGUGGGGAAUAUUGGACAAUGGGCGCAAGCCUGAUCCGGCCAUACCGCGUGGGCGAAGAAGGCCUUCGGGUUGUAAAGCCCUUUUGUUGGGAAAGAAAAGCAGCAGGUUAAUACCCCGCUGUUCUGACGGUACCCAAAGAAUAAGCACCGGCUAACUUCGUG
This 492-nucleotide ribosomal RNA is filed under the name uncultured bacterium. RNAcentral describes it as "partial 16S ribosomal RNA". It matches the Rfam family "Bacterial small subunit ribosomal RNA", at positions 29 to 507 of the family's 1533-position model. The record is from RNAcentral.